AUUGAACGCUGGCGGCAUGCCUUACACAUGCAAGUCGAACGGUAACAGGUUAAGCUGACGAGUGGCGAACGGGUGAGUAAUAUAUCGGAACGUGCCCAGUCGUGGGGGAUAACUGCUCGAAAGAGCAGCUAAUACCGCAUACGACCUGAGGGUGAAAGCGGGGGAUCGCAAGACCUCGCGCGAUUGGAGCGGCCGAUAUCAGAUUAGGUAGUUGGUGGGGUAAAGGCCCACCAAGCCAACGAUCUGUAGCUGGUCUGAGAGGACGACCAGCCACACUGGGACUGAGACACGGCCCAGACUCCUACGGGAGGCAGCAGUGGGGAAUUUUGGACAAUGGGCGCAAGCCUGAUCCAGCCAUGCCGCGUGCGGGAAGAAGGCCUUCGGGUUGUAAACCGCUUUUGUCAGGGAAGAAAAGGUUCUGGUUAAUACCUGGGACUCAUGACGGUACCUGAAGAAUAAGCACCGGCUAACUACGUGCCAGCAGCCGCGGUAAUACGUAGGGUGCAAGCGUUAAUCGGAAUUACUGGGCGUAAAGCGUGCGCAGGCGGUUAUGCAAGACAGAGGUGAAAUCCCCGGGCUCAACCUGGGAACUGCCUUUGUGACUGCAUGGCUAGAGUACGGUAGAGGGGGAUGGAAUUCCGCGUGUAGCAGUGAAAUGCGUAGAUAUGCGGAGGAACACCGAUGGCGAAGGCAAUCCCCUGGACCUGUACUGACGCUCAUGCACGAAAGCGUGGGGAGCAAACAGG
Molecule: ribosomal RNA, 746 nt
Filed under: uncultured Comamonadaceae bacterium
Lineage: Bacteria; Pseudomonadati; Pseudomonadota; Betaproteobacteria; Burkholderiales; Comamonadaceae
Description: bacterial SSU rRNA
Rfam family: Bacterial small subunit ribosomal RNA
Source: RNAcentral